Molecule: ribosomal RNA, 856 nt
Filed under: uncultured Planctomycetia bacterium
Lineage: Bacteria; Pseudomonadati; Planctomycetota; Planctomycetia
Description: bacterial SSU rRNA
Rfam family: Bacterial small subunit ribosomal RNA
Source: RNAcentral
CAAGUCGAACGAGAACCUGGGGGCUUGCUUCCAGGGGAAAGUGGCGAAAGGGGCAGUAAGGCGUGGGUAACCUACCCUGGGGACCGGUACAUUCCUGUAAUAGGGGUAAAUGCCGGGCGAUGUCGCCGAGGCGCAUGUUUUGGCGAUGAGAUGAAUUUCGCCUCGGGAGGGGCUCACGUAGUAUUAGCUAGUUGGUAGGGUAACGGCCUACCAAGGCAAAGAUGCUUAGCGGGUGUGAGAGCACGACCCGCGCCACUGGCACUGAGACACUGGCCAGACUCCUACGGGAGGCUGCAGUCGAGGAUCUUCGGCAAUGGGCGAAAGCCUGACCGAGCGACGCCGCGUGAGCGAUGAAGGCCUUCGGGUUGUAAAGCUCUUUAGCAGGGGAGGAAGCCGAAAGGUUGACCUAUCCUGAGAAUAAGCACGGGCUAAGUUCGUGCCAGCAGCCGCGGUAAGACGAACCGUGCGAACGUUGUUCGGAAUCACUGGGCUUAAAGGGCGCGUAGGCGGGCUGCCAAGUCCGGGGUGAAAUCUUUCGGCUCAACCGGAAAAGUGCCUCGGAUACUGGCGGUCUUGAGGGAGGUAGGGGUAUGUGGAACUUCCGGUGGAGCGGUGAAAUGCGUUGAUAUCGGAAGGAACGCCGGUGGCGAAAGCGACGUACUGGACCUCUUCUGACGCUGAGGCGCGAAAGCUAGGGGAGCGAACGGGAUUAGAUACCCCGGUAGUCCUAGCCCUAAACGAUGGGUACUAGGUAGUAGACUUAACAUGGGUUUACUGCCGAAGCAAAAGUGGUAAGUACCCCGCCUGGGGAGUAUGGUCGCAAGGCUGAAACUCAAAGGAAUUGACGGGGGCUCAC